Pelobates cultripes (western spadefoot toad) is the source of this 211-nucleotide non-coding RNA. The record is from the annotation of a GenBank genome assembly. Lineage: Eukaryota; Metazoa; Chordata; Amphibia; Anura; Pelobatidae.
GUAGUCUAUCAAAGCAGUGCUCCAGCAGGAACACUUGUAACACCUCCUCCCCAGUUACCGCUUGGCAUCCAGCCAUCCAGUGGGCUGCGGUACGAUGGACUCUGCAGGCCCAUUCCACAUAAGAGUCCCCAGCCAGCUUGUUGGUUUCUCUAAACCUCCGCCUGUACGCCUCUGGGGUCACUGCAUACCUGGCUAGGAGCGCCUCUUUCAC